This 497-nucleotide ribosomal RNA is filed under the name uncultured bacterium. Its description in RNAcentral is "partial 16S ribosomal RNA". It matches the Rfam family "Bacterial small subunit ribosomal RNA", at positions 28 to 507 of the family's 1533-position model. The record is from RNAcentral.
GAUGAACGCUGGCGGCGUGCCUAAUACAUGCAAGUCGAGCGAACAGACGAGGAGCUUGCUCCUCUAACGUUAGCGGCGGACGGGUGAGUAACACGUGGAUAACCUACCUCUAAGACUGGGAUAACUUCGGGAAACCGGAGCUAAUACCGGAUAAUAUAUUGAACCGCAUGGUUCAAUAGUGAAAGACGGUUUUGCUGUCACUUAUAGAUGGAUCCGCGCCGCAUUAGCUAGUUGGUAAGGUAACAGCUUACCAAGGCAACGAUGCGUAGCCGACCUGAGAGGGGGAUCGGCCACACUGGAACUGAGACACGGUCAAGACUCCUACGGGAGGCAGCAGUAGGGAAUCUUCCGCAAUGGGCGAAAGCCUGACGGAGCAACGCCGCGUGAGUGAUGAAGGUCUUCGGAUCGUAAAACUCUGUUAUGAGGGAAGAACAAAUGUGUAAGUAACUAUGCACGUCUUGACGGUACCUAAUCAGAAAGCCACGGCUAACUACGUG